GUGCCGUGAACUCCCACUCCCCCGGCUCCUCGGCCACCGCCUGCCCGCCGAAGAACCCGCCGUCGGACAGCACGCCGCGCCGGGUCUCCUCGCCGUACCGUCCGGUGCCGGCCUUCUCCACCUUGCCGUGCGCGAUCAGGUAGACGUGGUCGACGGGCCCGCCCUGGUGGGCGAUCACCUGACCGGGGCCGUACUGCUCCUGUCGGCAGCGCUCGGCGAGCGCGCGCAGCGCCUCCUCGUCCUCGAACCCACGCAGCAGCGGCAGUUCGCCCAGUUCCGCGGGGACGACCCUGACCGUGGUCCCCUCCUGGACGAAAGUGACCCGGCCGUCGCCGACCUCGUACACCAGGCGCCGGUUGACCCGGUACGCGCCACCCUUCACCUCCACCCAGGGCAGCAUGCGCAGCAGCCACCGGGAGCUGACGCCCUGCAUCUGCGGGACGCUCUUGGUGGUGGUCGCCAGGUUCCGCGCGGCGGCGAUCCCCAGGCUGAGCUGUGCCCG
This is a non-coding RNA of Streptomyces sp. WM6378, 502 nucleotides long. The record is from Rfam. Lineage: Bacteria; Bacillati; Actinomycetota; Actinomycetes; Kitasatosporales; Streptomycetaceae.